GGGGUUGACUGGAUUUGACAUCAAGGUGAAUGGGUUUGUAAGCAUGCCGGGCAUUGUAGAUACGCUCGUUAUCAUUAUCUGCACACAAACAAUUGGCGAAAACAAUUUCGCUCUCGCUGCCUAAUCGAAGUUUAGUAGAUCGGGCUUAAUCCUGGUUCAAGGAACCGGGACGGGACGUUCUGCCGGUGGAGAUGCCUGAUUCCGGCCGGAUCACAGGGCGUAGGCAAUUUUGGGCUGGUUUUGUCAGGGCUUCGAUGACAGGAUGAGAUAAAGAAGCUAAGGUUUGGCCUUGGGCGCUUGUUCCCGGAUCAAACACGAAAACCAACAGCAAGCUAAGCAUGUAGAAAGCACACGUGUUCCUUGUUUGGACCGGGGUUCGACUCCCCGCAACUCCACAA
RNAcentral lists this transfer-messenger RNA (398 nucleotides) under Bacteroidales. RNAcentral describes it as "JAGLWB01 sp023133655 Standard tmRNA". It matches the Rfam family "transfer-messenger RNA". Rfam says of the family: Bacterial tmRNA, also known as 10Sa RNA or SsrA, is named for its dual tRNA and mRNA-like properties. Its role is to liberate the mRNA from a stalled ribosome. RNAcentral also lists the same sequence under 1 other name. The record is from RNAcentral. Lineage: Bacteria; Pseudomonadati; Bacteroidota; Bacteroidia.